UACGGAGGAUCCAAGCGUUAUCCGGAAUCAUUGGGUUUAAAGGGUCCGUAGGCGGUUUAAUAAGUCAGUGGUGAAAGCCUAUCGCUUAACGAUAGAACGGCCAUUGAUACUGUUAGACUUGAAUUAGUGGGAAGUAACUAGAAUAUGUAGUGUAGCGGUGAAAUGCUUAGAUAUUACAUGGAAUACCAAUUGCGAAGGCAGGUUACUAUCACUAUAUUGACGCUGAUGGACGAAAGCGUGGGGAGCGAACAGGAUUAGAAACCCUUGUAGU
Molecule: ribosomal RNA, 271 nt
Filed under: uncultured bacterium
Lineage: Bacteria
Description: partial 16S ribosomal RNA
Rfam family: Bacterial small subunit ribosomal RNA
Source: RNAcentral